RNAcentral lists this long non-coding RNA (234 nucleotides) under Prunus persica (peach). RNAcentral's name for it is "long non-coding RNA (PPER_LNC008703)". Lineage: Eukaryota; Viridiplantae; Streptophyta; Magnoliopsida; Rosales; Rosaceae. The record is from RNAcentral.
UGGAUGUACAAGUGAGUAAUUAGACAACAUUGGAUGUAUCCAAGUGGGUGAUUUGGAAUCCCUGAACACUAGAAACAGUUGGAAAUCCAUACUGAAAAUCUAUGACUUUGCAUAUAGAUGCCAUAUUGAAAUGAUUUUGAGUUGACAUUCCAAUCGAUUCCUAAAUAUUAAAUUCCAAUCAAUAUAUAAAAAAUAUACUUUGAGAAUGCCAAUGUUAAAAAAAUUAAAAAAAAA